AACGAACGCUGGCGGCAGGCCUAACACAUGCAAGUCGAGCGAGAUCUUCGGGUCUAGCGGCGGACGGGUGAGUAACGCGUGGGAAUAUGCCUCUUGGUACGGAAUAGCCUCGGGAAACUGGGAGUAAUACCGUAUGUGCCCUUGGGGGGAAAGAUUUAUCGCCAAGAGAUUAGCCCGCGUUGGAUUAGGUAGUUGGUGGGGUAAUGGCCUACCAAGCCGACGAUCCAUAGCUGGUUUGAGAGGAUGAUCAGCCACACUGGGACUGAGACACGGCCCAGACUCCUACGGGAGGCAGCAGUGGGGAAUCUUAGACAAUGGGGGCAACCCUGAUCUAGCCAUGCCGCGUGAGUGAUGAAGGCCUUAGGGUUGUAAAGCUCUUUCAGCUGGGAAGAUAAUGACGGUACCAGCAGAAGAAGCCCCGGCUAACUCCGUG
RNAcentral lists this ribosomal RNA (433 nucleotides) under uncultured bacterium. RNAcentral's name for it is "partial 16S ribosomal RNA". It matches the Rfam family "Bacterial small subunit ribosomal RNA", at positions 29 to 507 of the family's 1533-position model. The record is from RNAcentral.